GACGAACGCUGGCGGCGUGCUUAACACAUGCAAGUCGAACGAAAGGGCCCCUUUCGGGGGUUACUGAUGUGAGGAGCGGGUGGGUAACUCGUAAGUAACUUGCCCUCGUCUUUGGCUUAGCUUAAGGAAACUGGGCCUAGUACCGAACGGGUGAUCUUUUGGACCGCAGGGGUUAGAAAAGUUUCGCGGGCUGGGUGUGGCUUCGCGGUUUAUCAGCUUGUUGUUGGGGAAGUGGCUAGCCAAGGCUUUGACGGGUAGCCGGCCUGUGAGGGUGACCGGCCACAUUGGGACUGAGAUACGGCCCAGACUCCUACGGGAGGCAGCAGUGGGGAAUAUUGCACAAUGGGUGGAAGCCUGAUGCAGCAACGCCGUGUGCGGGAUGACGGCCUUCGUGUUGUAAACCGCUUUCGCUCAUGACGAAGCUUUGUGUGACGGUAGUGGGUAAAGAAGCACCGGCUAACUACGUG
Molecule: ribosomal RNA, 467 nt
Filed under: uncultured bacterium
Lineage: Bacteria
Description: partial 16S ribosomal RNA
Rfam family: Bacterial small subunit ribosomal RNA
Source: RNAcentral